RNAcentral lists this transfer RNA (55 nucleotides) under Wakarumbia sp. UPOL MD0132. RNAcentral describes it as "partial tRNA-Ser". Lineage: Eukaryota; Metazoa; Arthropoda; Insecta; Coleoptera; Lycidae. The record is from RNAcentral.
AAAGAAAUAUUUGUAUAAAAGCUUCUAACUUUUUAAAAAGCAUUAAAUUGUUUAU